RNAcentral lists this small RNA (1683 nucleotides) under Mytilus galloprovincialis (Mediterranean mussel). The record is from RNAcentral. Lineage: Eukaryota; Metazoa; Mollusca; Bivalvia; Mytilida; Mytilidae.
AUGUCAACACAGAUUCAUUGUUUCUCGGAUGCCAGUGAUAUCGGUUAUGGCGUGGUGUACUAUCUUCGUUUAAUUGAUAAAACUGGGAGGAUUCAUUGCUCAUUUGUUCUUGGGAAAUCACGAGUUGCGCCUCUGAAAACAAUUACCGUGCCUAGAAUGGAAUUAACUGCUGCAGCAAGAGCAGUUCGAUUGAGCAAAGUUAUUUUGCAAGAGUUGAAUUACAACAUCGAUAAAGUGUUCUUUUGGACAGAUAGUAUGACAGUGCUGCGAUACAUUUUCAACAGAAAUUCAAGAUAUCAUACGUUUGUUGCAAAUCGUCUUGCUUUAAUACAUGAAGCUACCGACAAUGCACAGUGGAAUUAUGUAAAUACGAAGCAAAAUCCAGCUGACUUUGCUUCUCGUGGAAUGACUAUUUCGAAAUUUCAACAAAAUCCUCAAUGGAUCAGGGGACCAGAUUAUUUGUGGUUACCAGAAUGUGAAUGGCCACAAGUAUGUAUGGACUUGACAUUUCCAGAUAAUGACUCGGAAGUCAAACGAAAAUCAGUGGUCAAUGCAUCAAUUGUGGACGAUGAUUAUGAUGAAUUUAACAGUUUUGAAACCUUGAUUUCUCGAUGUUCUGACUUUGACAAGUUGAAAAGAAUUGUAGCUUGGUUGUUGAAGGCCGUAAACAACUUUAAGCAAACCACCCGAAGAAAAAACGACUUAGCAAAUGAGAAUGAAGAUAAGUUACCUACACAAGCAAAAUCCAAGCGACUAAAUGAAUCGAAGGAACUAGUCAAAACUCUGAAUCUAAAAGUACAGGAUAUACACAACGCAGAAAUGACUAUUAUUCGUUUUGUUCAAAACCAACAUUUUGAUGAUGAAGUACAGCGAUUAAAAGAUAAGUUGAAUGUUAAGCGAACAUCAAGACUGUUUAAACUUGACUCAUAUAUUGAUGAAAAAGGAAUAUUACGAGUUGGUGGGAGAUUAGCAAGAUCAAAUCUAACCGAAACAUCGAAGCAUCCAAUCAUACUGCCAAAACAAUCUACAUUAUCAUAUUUAAUUAUAAUACAAGAAAUUCAUAGAUCGAUCGGACAUUUAGGGAAAAAUGCUAUUUUGACCGAACUCAGACAAAAGUAUUGGAUCAUAGGUGCUAACGGUAUAAUCAAGAAUAUUGUCUCUAAAUGUGUCAUAUGUAGAAAAUAUCAAGCACCCAUCAUGCAACAGAAAAUGGCGAAUUUGCCCAGCGAAAGGGUGACUCAAGAUACUGCACCGUUUACAAUCGUUGGUAUGGAUUACUUUGGACCUUUUGCAAUUAAACAGAGAAGGUGUACUGUUAAACGUUACGGUGUGAUAUUUACAUGUCUCAAAAUAAGAGCAGUACAUUUGGAAGUAGCCGAUUCCCUAGACACCAGUUCUUGCAUUAAUGCAAUCCGGCGAUUCAUUGCACGCAGAGGAGUACCCAAAAUUAUUCGAUCGGACAAUGGAACUAAUCUCGUAGGUGCGCAAAGAGAACUUAAAGAUGAAAUUGUUAAAUGGAAUCUGAAUCAGAUUGACAAUUUUAUGCUUCAAAAGGGCAUCGACUGGAAAUUUAAUCCUCCAGCAGCAUCUAAUUUUGGUGGAGUAUGGGAAAGACUCAUUCGAUUCAGUGUAUUUUUUGUAUUUCAGUUAAACCUUUCAUGUGUAUUAAGAGAAUUGAAUUAA